Molecule: ribosomal RNA, 491 nt
Filed under: uncultured bacterium
Lineage: Bacteria
Description: partial 16S ribosomal RNA
Rfam family: Bacterial small subunit ribosomal RNA
Source: RNAcentral
AGUGAACGCUGGCGGUAGGCCUAACACAUGCAAGUCGAACGGCAGCACAGUAAGAGCUUGCUCUUACGGGUGGCGAGUGGCGGACGGGUGAGGAAUACAUCGGAAUCUACUUUUUCGUGGGGGAUAACGUAGGGAAACUUACGCUAAUACCGCAUACGACCUACGGGUGAAAGCAGGGGAUCUUCGGACCUUGCGCGAUUGAAUGAGCCGAUGUCGGAUUAGCUAGUUGGCGGGGUAAAGGCCCACCAAGGCGACGAUCCGUAGCUGGUCUGAGAGGAUGACGCGCCACUGGGAAAGUGAGACACGGACCAGACCCCGAGGGGAGGCACAGGUGGGGAAUUGUGGAAAUGGGGGGGAAGCCUGUCCCACCCACGCCGGGGGGGGGGAGAAGGCCUUCGGGUGGUAAGGCCCUUUUGUGGGGAAAAAAAGGAGGCGGGUGAAACCCCCGGUGUUUGAAGGUAACCAAAAAAAAAGGCACGGCUAAAUUUGGG